Molecule: ribosomal RNA, 497 nt
Filed under: uncultured bacterium
Lineage: Bacteria
Description: partial 16S ribosomal RNA
Rfam family: Bacterial small subunit ribosomal RNA
Source: RNAcentral
GAUGAACGCUGGCGGCGUGCUUAAUACAUGCAAGUCGAGCGAAAGGACGAGACGCUUGCUUGUCUGAUGUUUGCGGAGGACGGGAGAGACACACGUGGAUAACCUACCUAUCAGACUGGGAUCAUUUCGGGAAACCGGCGCUAAUCCCGGAUAAUAUUCUGCACCGCAGGGUUCAAAGGUAAAAGACGGUCUUUGGGUCACUUAUAGCUGGAUCCGCGCUGCAUUAGCUAGUUGGGAAGGUAAACGGUUUUCAGGGGUACGAUGCAUAUCCGACGUGAGAGGGGGAUCGGCCACACUGGAGCGUGGACGGGGACCUGGCUCCUACGGUACGCAGCAGUAGGGUAUGUUCCGCAGUAGGCGGAAGCAUGACGGAGCGACGCCGCGUGAGUGAUGAAGGUCUUCGGUUCGUAAAACUGUGUUAUGAGUGAAGAACAGAUUUGGAAGUAACUGUGCACAUCGUGACGGUACCUAAUCAGAAAGCCACGGCUAACUACGUG